This is a long non-coding RNA of Micropterus salmoides (largemouth bass), 1579 nucleotides long. RefSeq lists it as uncharacterized. The transcript has 5 exons. NCBI's taxonomy places the organism in Eukaryota, Metazoa, Chordata, Actinopteri, Centrarchiformes, Centrarchidae. The record is from RefSeq and is a predicted model, not a curated record.
AUAAGCUUUUUUUUUUUUUUAUGAAAAGCUUAUUCUGUAAAUGUACUUACACACCUUACUUAAGCUCUGAUCAAAUUAUAAUAUUGUUUUGCAUGCACGUUUAUUCUGUGACUUUUUUUAGCCUCAGGAGACCUGGCUGAAGAAAAAGAUUCACCAGAACCUGGUAAUUUCAGGUUGACGGGAGGAGCCACCCGCUGUGCUGGUGGACUGAAUGAAACUCUACAAUGACUGGAAACCAGUGGAUGACCCUUUGUUUGGCUGGGACCUGAGAACAGCAGAUUUAGUGUGUAGACAGUUGGACUGUGUGGAUCCGCUGUGUCAGCAAAAAUCAAGGACAAUCGCUCCGUAAGACAUGUAUGGAAAAUAAAUGCUUCCAGUGUUCUGUCUGCAUCUGCACUGAGAGACUACAAAUCAGUGACGCCCCAGAAUUCCUCUACCAGCUUGGAGAUCACCUGCUCAGAUUUGCUGUUUCAGCCAAUGAUCUCUAUCUCUCCUUCUAUCGAUGGGAUCUACGAGUCCUCCAACUUCACCAUCAGCUGCUCCAUUAAACCACAGUACCCAGGAGGCUCUUUCCAGCUCACCUUCAACACAUCUAACACAGCAAACAUCUACACCCAGAAAGCUGUGAAUCACACUGCACACUUCCUGUUUCCUGCUGCAAACCAUGGAUACCAAGGGAACUAUAGCUGUUCCGUUUUCUCUCAUAAAUUCUCCUCAGUGAGCCAGCCACUCCAUCUCAGUAUCUCAGCCUCUCCAACAGUUUUCAUCGUAAGACUUGUUGGCCUGCUGCUGACUUUGGCAUUGCUUCUUUCUGCCAUUGGUCUCCACAAAAUGGGGGCAGGAGUCAGGACGCCAGGAGAACAUUGAGCUUGACUAUUGCAACCUGCAUCCAGAGCUGAAGGUGGGCCAAAUGAAGAGGAUGUGACCCAGGGAACAGAUCUUUAAAGAGCUAUUCUUUCAACUAUAUCAUUUAACUAUGCUUUUAAAAGAGUACAUCACUGAUUGAACAGACUUUGAUGAUGUUUAAAAUCAGUGGACCCCCCCCUCGAGCCACAUUUACAGUGUCAUUCUGCGGGAAACACUGACAUUGUUUAAUUUUCAAAUAACACCAUAUUUUUGUAAUACUGCACAUUGCUGCAGCUCCUCUUUUCACCCAGAGUGCUGAAGGAUUCGUUUUAGUUACGGAGUGAUGCAUCUUGCCUCUACAUGAUCUUUGUUGUGAGUUUCACAUGUGCAGUUCCUAGUUAAGGACUACUAAACAGGGCUUCAGUUCUGCUGGAUGUGUUCCCCUUACCAGCUUAGCAACAUGGACUGGAAAAUUGGCGCUUGGCGAGCGUUAUGACGCGCAUUUUGCGGAUGCAAGGGAAACGGCUGGACUACAAACGAGCUGUUUUCAGGCAAUUCAUAGCAAUGUUUUCUGUGGGAGAUGGGAAGAUGAGAUGGACUUUGGGCUUUUUCACUUUGCAAACAUAUUACGUGCACAGAAAAGAUGUAACUCAAUAAAGGAGAGGGAAAAGGCAAAAAUACCACCAUGUUACCAUCAUGUUCAGACUGAAUGUAAAACGCAUACAAGCUUUAA